This 538-nucleotide ribosomal RNA is filed under the name Stemphylium botryosum. RNAcentral's name for it is "eukaryotic LSU rRNA". It matches the Rfam family "Eukaryotic large subunit ribosomal RNA", at positions 103 to 656 of the family's 3401-position model. Lineage: Eukaryota; Fungi; Ascomycota; Dothideomycetes; Pleosporales; Pleosporaceae. The record is from RNAcentral.
AACAGCUCAAAUUUGAAAUCUGGCUCUUUUAGGGUCCGAGUUGUAAUUUGCAGAGGGCGCUUUGGCUUUGGCAGCGGUCCAAGUUCCUUGGAACAGGACGUCACAGAGGGUGAGAAUCCCGUACGUGGUCGCUAGCUAUUGCCGUGUAAAGCCCCUUCGACGAGUCGAGUUGUUUGGGAAUGCAGCUCUAAAUGGGAGGUAAAUUUCUUCUAAAGCUAAAUAUUGGCCAGAGACCGAUAGCGCACAAGUAGAGUGAUCGAAAGAUGAAAAGCACUUUGGAAAGAGAGUCAAACAGCACGUGAAAUUGUUGAAAGGGAAGCGCUUGCAGCCAGACUUGCUUGCAGUUGCUCAUCCGGGCUUUUGCCCGGUGCACUCUUCUGUAGGCAGGCCAGCAUCAGUUUGGGCGGUGGGAUAAAGGUCUCUGUCACGUACCUCUCUUCGGGGAGGCCUUAUAGGGGAGACGACAUACCACCAGCCUAGACUGAGGUCCGCGCAUCUGCUAGGAUGCUGGCGUAAUGGCUGUAAGCGGCCCGUCUUG